CUUGGACCAUGAGAAGCUUUUAGCUGGAUCUGUACAUUAGUCAUCGAGUAUUCCCAGUUUGUGGCAUAGAUUAGCUUCUCAGUAAAUAUCUCUUGGAUAAAGGAACAAAUCAUUGCAAGUAUCUUCAUGCAUAUUACUAAAUUGUUCUUUAUCAACCUUGUACUCUAAUUUUAUUAGCAAGAUUUCCAACACCAGCUCACUGCAUGAUCACUGGCCCUAAGAAAUUGAACUUCAACUACUUCAAGACCAUGUUGUUUCACCCAUUUUAUAUCCACAUCACUCUUCUGAAUUUCUGUAGGAGAAAGAUAUCUAGGGUUCCCUCAUGAAAAAGGAGGCAAAAUUCUCUUCAGACAUCAAAAGCUACUAUAAGUGAAUGAAAACCUUUAAAAAUGUUGCCUCCAAUCUUUUAUCUUUGAUUUCCAUGUAAAGAAAUCUGUAACCCAGCUAUGUUGGGUGUUGGUACUUCAGGCUCUCUGGCAACAUGCUUUGGG
This 491-nucleotide long non-coding RNA is filed under the name Sus scrofa (pig). RNAcentral's name for it is "lncRNA (ENSSSCG00015063567.1)". Lineage: Eukaryota; Metazoa; Chordata; Mammalia; Artiodactyla; Suidae. The record is from RNAcentral.